GCUCUCAGGAUGUGUGUGUAACAGGAGCACCCCAGGAUCCUGCACUGCUGUAAUCUUUCUCCUCCCAAUGGAUCUCACCUUUUAUUUGGUGUUGCACCUCCCUGACUGAUAUUUAACCUUGCUCCUGGUGCUCUUUGUUGGAGUUUUGCCAUGCAUACAAUACUGCUCUGAUGGGUGUCUACAGAUACCUGAGGGGCGAGCCCAGGUGUUUUGCUGGUCAAGAGGGAAAAUAUGUUUAUUUGCAGCAUGCCUUGCAGUCAUUUGCUUUGAAGGCCUGGGAAGAAGAGAUGUUGGCAAAGGGGAAACAUCCACAUCAUAGAUACUGUCAGGCUCUACAAGUCUAAGCACCCAGGACUUAAAAAAGACAUCUACAGACACUGACAUCAAACCACUCAUGGGUACUGUGCUAGCUUUGGGCUGGCACCGACUGCACCACCCAGUGAUCUCUGUCAUGUGGGUAGAAAUCGUCACCAAACUGUGUGCUCUUUGCUACUACAAGGUGUUAGCCUGGCAGGGGGUUGUAUGUGAGACUGUUUUGGGAUCCUGCCUGCUUCUGAUCACUUCAACUCCCACACUGCUGGUACAAGCACUGAAGAAAGGGGAUUAUUUGAAGCAAAUAGCCUAUAGAUGGACAAAUAUAAAUAAAUAAAUAGAUGGACAAAAUCUUCUUACUACAUUGUCACUGAUAGAAAACGGCAGCAAAUGCAGAUAUGGUCUUUGUCAACAAAAUUUUGGUGGACAACUGGUGAUGGACUUAACUGGAUGCUUGCAUCCUAAGCCAACUGCUGUAAAGAUAAAAGCAGCCCUUUCAAGUUGUUGCAUUGGGGUUCAAAAGCAAAACUGAGAAGGCUUCACUAGGGAACUUGAUCUCUUGUAGUGCUUAUUCUCACAAACCAAGAGCAGCAAUUAAUAUCUCUUUCAGAUGGUGAGAAUCUCUUUCAGAUGGUGAGAAUAAACAGUCUUGUAGACAUGCAGAGGAAAUGGAAAUGACACACAAAUUUUAAUUAACCUACUUCUCCUCGGCUCUGCUGCAUAGUGCCAAAAUAUAGUUCUAUGGAUCCUUUGGUUACAUACCCUGGCAUCUUCCUGAGCUGCUGGCUUUAGUUGAAAGCAAGUGGUUUCACAUGUGUACCUAAGAUCUAUGUGUUUCUUGUGGGCUGAUUACCAGAAAGGUGUCUGAGCCCUUAGUGCUUUCUCUCUGUCUGCGUAUACCCUGAUAUUUUGAAGAUAUCCCUAUUUUUAAACACAACCAUAAGAUCAAGAAAUCUCUAGAUGAUGUCAUUUACUGUGAUAAUGUUGACCAUUGCUCCAAUUACAGUCUCAAGCAGUUCUUAGUCUUCCCUGGAUGCUUCGUAUGUGUUGAUAUAAAACAGUAUGGCAGAAAAUAUGAUGUCAUCUGCAGCUGCCAUGUGGUAUUUCAAAGGAGAAGGCAGUAACCCUUUCUGGAAAAAUCUCUCCUAUGAAGGACAGAUGUCUUCUUGGUUGAACAGCUUACACAGCCUAAUUAUUCAUGUCUGUACCUGUUUGCCAACCCCACUUCUCACUGAGGUAAACUGGCACUGCUCCAUAGAAGUUGAAGAAGCAGUAAUUCUCACUGCUGGCAGCAGAUAAUUUUUACCCUUUUUAUUGAUCUGUGCUUUAUUUUAUCAACUUCAUGCCCUUUGACAUCUGGUCCCAUAAAAGUAUUGAGCCACAGCAGUAGGGUUUCUAUAAAUACAUUUCUUCCAUACGGAGAUUGACAGCAUUCAAGUUGCAAAGUGUUUCGGAGCCAUGUGGGAGGAGGGAGGAACAAGGUGAAGGGGGAGGCAAGGUGUCUUAUUUCCCCUCUCACCUCCUUCAUCUCAAGCCCUGAUGUCCUCCAGGAUGUGUUUUUAGUGUUAAUGGCAGAGGUGCUCCAAAGCAGCAGUAAAUGUGGGCCCCAGAUGUGCUAAUUCAGUCUGGGCCAGGCAGGGGAAAUGCAUGUAUUAUCUCACUCACCAGGAUGUAGCUCUGACAGCUCCGGUUUAGGCUAAAUCUCUGCUCCUGUCUUUCUGCCCUCACCCCCCUCCACUGGCCCUGGCUGGGCAUCCUCCCUCUGUCUCUUUGACAUGGGCACAGCUGGCCCCUUGCAGCCCUGAGCUAGGGGAGCAUCUGUGACUCAUCUGCCCCUGAGCACUCACUCCAAGCAGCCUUGAGCCAGGUCUGACCGCUCUUAGCUGCUGCCAGGGGAGCUGGAAUGUGAAGCAAGAGAGUGCACUGGUGUAGGCAGCCUUUAGCAGAGAUGAGUCCUGCAUUUAACCUGCUUGGAAGGUUGUGCAAUUCAAAGCAAAAAAUUGCUACCCCUUCCCCUGUAGACAGAUGGCCUCAUGGGUGACUAGAGGAACCAAAAAUGUCACUGUUUGAAAGGUGUAAGUAUAUAUAACAUGUAUCACUGUCAUAGGAGAUAAAGAGGUUGCCCUCUCUUUGUUCCACAAAGCACAGCCCUUGUGAUCUGCAGCAUGUGCUACUGUACUAUUGAUUUACUGCUUGAUUAUAAUGACAUUUCAUAACACAAGUGUUAUUAAAGACUUGUUAAUCUUCCUUAAGGAUCAUAUUCCUCAAAAUGUUUGAGCAAAAUGCUUUGCGUUUAUCUUUAAGUACCUAUUUAAAUAAACUCAAACGACUUGCUGUA
Cyanistes caeruleus (blue tit) is the source of this 2650-nucleotide non-coding RNA. The record is from RefSeq and is a predicted model, not a curated record. NCBI's taxonomy places the organism in Eukaryota, Metazoa, Chordata, Aves, Passeriformes, Paridae.